GAAAUAUGGAAUUCAAAAAUAAGCUUCUAACUUAGUUUUUUAGCAGUGAAAUUCUGUUAAUAUUUCU
RNAcentral lists this transfer RNA (67 nucleotides) under Olophrum piceum. RNAcentral describes it as "tRNA-Ser". The record is from RNAcentral. Lineage: Eukaryota; Metazoa; Arthropoda; Insecta; Coleoptera; Staphylinidae.